UUAAGCGACUAAGCGUACACGGUGGAUGCCCUGGCAGUCAGAGGCGAUGAAGGACGUGCUAAUCUGCGAUAAGCGUCGGUAAGGUGAUAUGAACCGUUAUAACCGGCGAUUUCCGAAUGGGGAAACCCAGUGUGAUUCGUCACACUAUCAUUAACUGAAUCCAUAGGUUAAUGAGGCGAACCGGGGGAACUGAAACAUCUAAGUACCCCGAGGAAAAGAAAUCAACCGAGAUUCCCCCAGUAGCGGCGAGCGAACGGGGAGGAGCCCAGAGCCUGAAUCAGUGUGUGUGUUAGUGGAAGCGUCUGGAAAGGCGCGCGAUACAGGGUGACAGCCCCGUACACAAAAAUGCACAUAUUGUGAGCUCGAUGAGUAGGGCGGGACACGUGGUAUCCUGUCUGAAUAUGGGGGGACCAUCCUCCAAGGCUAAAUACUCCUGACUGACCGAUAGUGAACCAGUACCGUGAGGGAAAGGCGAAAAGAACCCCGGCGAGGGGAGUGAAAAAGAACCUGAAACCGUGUACGUACAAGCAGUGGGAGCCUCUUUAUGGGGUGACUGCGUACCUUUUGUAUAAUGGGUCAGCGACUUAUAUUCUGUAGCAAGGUUAACCGAAUAGGGGAGCCGAAGGGAAACCGAGUCUUAACUGGGCGUUAAGUUGCAGGGUAUAGACCCGAAACCCGGUGAUCUAGCCAUGGGCAGGUUGAAGGUUGGGUAACACUAACUGGAGGACCGAACCGACUAAUGUUGAAAAAUUAGCGGAUGACUUGUGGCUGGGGGUGAAAGGCCAAUCAAACCGGGAGAUAGCUGGUUCUCCCCGAAAGCUAUUUAGGUAGCGCCUCGUGAAUUCAUCUCCGGGGGUAGAGCACUGUUUCGGCAAGGGGGUCAUCCCGACUUACCAACCCGAUGCAAACUGCGAAUACCGGAGAAUGUUAUCACGGGAGACACACGGCGGGUGCUAACGUCCGUCGUGAAGAGGGAAACAACCCAGACCGCCAGCUAAGGUCCCAAAGUCAUGGUUAAGUGGGAAACGAUGUGGGAAGGCCCAGACAGCCAGGAUGUUGGCUUAGAAGCAGCCAUCAUUUAAAGAAAGCGUAAUAGCUCACUGGUCGAGUCGGCCUGCGCGGAAGAUGUAACGGGGCUAAACCAUGCACCGAAGCUGCGGCAGCGACGCUUAUGCGUUGUUGGGUAGGGGAGCGUUCUGUAAGCCUGUGAAGGUGUGCUGUGAGGCAUGCUGGAGGUAUCAGAAGUGCGAAUGCUGACAUAAGUAACGAUAAAGCGGGUGAAAAGCCCGCUCGCCGGAAGACCAAGGGUUCCUGUCCAACGUUAAUCGGGGCAGGGUGAGUCGACCCCUAAGGCGAGGCCGAAAGGCGUAGUCGAUGGGAAACAGGUUAAUAUUCCUGUACUUGGUGUUACUGCGAAGGGGGGACGGAGAAGGCUAUGUUGACCGGGCGACGGUUGUCCCGGUUUAAGCGUGUAGGCUGGUUUUCCAGGCAAAUCCGGAAAAUCAAGGCUGAGGCGUGAUGACGAGGCACUACGGUGCUGAAGCAACAAAUGCCCUGCUUCCAGGAAAAGCCUCUAAGCAUCAGGUAACAUCAAAUCGUACCCCAAACCGACACAGGUGGUCAGGUAGAGAAUACCAAGGCGCUUGAGAGAACUCGGGUGAAGGAACUAGGCAAAAUGGUGCCGUAACUUCGGGAGAAGGCACGCUGAUAUGUAGGUGAAGCGACUUGCUCGUGAGCUGAAAUCAGUCGAAGAUACCAGCUGGCUGCAACUGUUUAUUAAAAACACAGCACUGUGCAAACACGAAAGUGGACGUAUACGGUGUGACGCCUGCCCGGUGCCGGAAGGUUAAUUGAUGGGGUCAGCGCAAGCGAAGCUCUUGAUCGAAGCCCCGGUAAACGGCGGCCGUAACUAUAACGGUCCUAAGGUAGCGAAAUUCCUUGUCGGGUAAGUUCCGACCUGCACGAAUGGCGUAAUGAUGGCCAGGCUGUCUCCACCCGAGACUCAGUGAAAUUGAACUCGCUGUGAAGAUGCAGUGUACCCGCGGCAAGACGGAAAGACCCCGUGAACCUUUACUAUAGCUUGACACUGAACAUUGAGCCUUGAUGUGUAGGAUAGGUGGGAGGCUUUGAAGUGUGGACGCCAGUCUGCAUGGAGCCGACCUUGAAAUACCACCCUUUAAUGUUUGAUGUUCUAACGUUGACCCGUAAUCCGGGUUGCGGACAGUGUCUGGUGGGUAGUUUGACUGGGGCGGUCUCCUCCUAAAGAGUAACGGAGGAGCACGAAGGUUGGCUAAUCCUGGUCGGACAUCAGGAGGUUAGUGCAAUGGCAUAAGCCAGCUUGACUGCGAGCGUGACGGCGCGAGCAGGUGCGAAAGCAGGUCAUAGUGAUCCGGUGGUUCUGAAUGGAAGGGCCAUCGCUCAACGGAUAAAAGGUACUCCGGGGAUAACAGGCUGAUACCGCCCAAGAGUUCAUAUCGACGGCGGUGUUUGGCACCUCGAUGUCGGCUCAUCACAUCCUGGGGCUGAAGUAGGUCCCAAGGGUAUGGCUGUUCGCCAUUUAAAGUGGUACGCGAGCUGGGUUUAGAACGUCGUGAGACAGUUCGGUCCCUAUCUGCCGUGGGCGCUGGAGAACUGAGGGGGGCUGCUCCUAGUACGAGAGGACCGGAGUGGACGCAUCACUGGUGUUCGGGUUGUCAUGCCAAUGGCACUGCCCGGUAGCUAAAUGCGGAAGAGAUAAGUGCUGAAAGCAUCUAAGCACGAAACUUGCCCCGAGAUGAGUUCUCCCUGACUCCUUGAGAGUCCUGAAGGAACGUUGAAGACGACGACGUUGAUAGGCCGGGUGUGUAAGCGCAGCGAUGCGUUGAGCUAACCGGUACUAAUGAACCGUGAGGCUUAACCUU
RNAcentral lists this ribosomal RNA (2900 nucleotides) under Escherichia coli. RNAcentral's name for it is "23S ribosomal RNA". It matches the Rfam family "Bacterial large subunit ribosomal RNA". The record is from RNAcentral. Lineage: Bacteria; Pseudomonadati; Pseudomonadota; Gammaproteobacteria; Enterobacterales; Enterobacteriaceae.